UGAGUGUUACGGACGGUCGCGGGGGGCAAAACUCCCUGAGGAAAGUCCGGGCUGCAUAGGGCAAGGAUACCGGAUAACGUCCGGCGAUGGCGACAUUAGGACAAGUGCAACAGAAAUAGACUGCCCACACGCACAAACGUACGCUGUUCCGCAGCGGAUGGUGCGUCGGGGUGAUGGUGGAAAGGUAGGGUAAGAGCCUACCCGCCGGACGGUGAAACGUACCGGUGCUGUAAACUCUAUCCGCAGCAACGUUGGAGCCGCCGUUCAGUCGGCAGGGCUGCCCGCCCGGCUCCGUAUUCGGCUCGAGGACCGCGGCAACGCGGUUCCCAGAUAGAUGACCGUACAUUGACAAAACCCGGCUUACAGUAACACUCAUUCC
RNAcentral lists this RNase P RNA (379 nucleotides) under Oscillospiraceae bacterium. Its description in RNAcentral is "RNase P RNA component class A". It matches the Rfam family "Bacterial RNase P class A". Rfam says of the family: Ribonuclease P (RNase P) is a ubiquitous endoribonuclease, found in archaea, bacteria and eukarya as well as chloroplasts and mitochondria. Lineage: Bacteria; Bacillati; Bacillota; Clostridia; Eubacteriales; Oscillospiraceae. The record is from RNAcentral.